This is a long non-coding RNA of Pteropus alecto (black flying fox), 1922 nucleotides long. RefSeq lists it as uncharacterized. The record is from RefSeq and is a predicted model, not a curated record. NCBI's taxonomy places the organism in Eukaryota, Metazoa, Chordata, Mammalia, Chiroptera, Pteropodidae. The transcript is spliced from 3 exons.
UCCGGGGCAGUAUCGCUGGGUUUCAAGACCCAACCAGUGAGUGUAUUUCUUGAGCUCCGGGUGCAGACGUGGGGACAAUUAAGGUAGUUAGUGUGUCUGAGCAUUCGGGGGAUGUGUCGAUAGAUAUUGGAAAACAAGUGGAAAAAAAAUGUCAUACGUUCUUGGAGAACUGAGCAAGACACGAGACAAGUUUUAAUUCCGGAAUGUGUGCGGAGCUCUCCGUGGAAGGCGAGGCCGUCACAGCUCACCACUUUGGUCACCGGAGAACUCACCAAGCCGCGAUAAUUUGAAGUCUAUAGUGAUGAAACCGAUGAUACCUAAGUUGAGGUGAUGGGGGUCGUUGCGCUAGGGUGGUUACCCAGCAAAAUUCUCAAAUACCAUAAUAGAAGAUGACGAAAUGACUAAAAUCAAUGCAUCAGGAACCCUCAUGUCACCUGGUACAAUUCAAUCCUAACCCUGGAGACAGUCACUGCAGGACCCAAGGAGUCCAAGGAAAUAAAUGAUACCAAGACCAGGACACUGUAGCAACAUCUGGCAAAAGAAUCGUGGAUACAAUUUUGAAACAGUGCAGGGUUUGGUGGCUACGACCGUGUCGGCUUCCUCUCAGGCCAGCGACACGGAGAGAAACAAGCAGCUAAAGCGGCCUCAUCUAAAAGUUAUUUCUUCCUUAAGUCUCCACGAUUCCAGAGAACAUAAGCCAAACACAGUGAAGCAUCCUGGUCUGCCCGGGGAGAGAGGCGUUUAUGUUAACACGGUUUGCGCGUUUACGGUGCGUUUACGUACCCACCAUUUCUCUUCUAAAGCCUGCACCUCACUGCGGGGGGCCGGCCGGGCCCCACCCCCAUGCCCGGUGCGGCAUCUUGGGCUCACCCACUCCAGGAGCCACCAGCAUCAGGGCACAGACCCCCGCUUUAUCGCAUCUGAGUUCCGAUGGCCUGCCAUUUCCUCCAUGGCUGCAUGGUCAGAGGAGUCUUGGGAGCUCUCCUUCAAUAAUUAAUUUUCAGUUUUAAAUAAUUCACUCGUCCUGGCCGGCGUAACUGCUGGACACCACAGGAUUCAUUACUUGGCUGAUUUUCUUUGCUUCCUUCCUGUUUGCGGGGAGGGAGGGCUAGGCACGGCUGGGCAGAAUGAGACUGAGCAGCCUCUAGGCGGGCUGUUACCCCAGUGAUACCCGAGCCCACGGUGGCAAAGGGACAGACAGGAUGACGACUCCACUCCGGCCGAAGGCACGGGCGGCUCUCUCAGCUCCGGCCCAUGCUUCUGUCCUCAGCAGCCCACGCAUCACUCCUGGGUGAUUUUUGAUAGAGGUGAGGGGACCAGGCCGACUAUAGAUAAAUAAAAUCAAAACGUGAUUCCAAAUCCCUUGUUUAGAACGAGGGUAAGUAAAGUAUGGCCUACGAGCCAAAUCCGGCCCGCGGACUGUUUCUGUAAAUAAAGUUUUAUUGGCACACAGCCACACCCACUCACGAACACGUUGUCUCCGGCCGCGUGCAGCUACCAUGGCAGAGUUCGGUAGCUGUGACAGAGACCGUAGAGCCAGCAAAUCCUUGCGUGUUCAUUCUCUGCCCCGCUACGGAGAACGCUGGCCGAUCUCUGGCUUAGAACGCUGUGUGUCUGUUGUCACCUUCAGCAGCUUCGCCAGGGCCAUCAGCGUGGUGGACCCCACAGCCAAGCUGGCCUUCUUCUCACUGCUUCUGCCCCCUCAGGGAGAGGAGGCGGUUGGACAAGCAGAGACGAGAGGCCACGUGCCUGGAGCAUCUCCCUCCGGCUCUGGCCUUCCACCCUUUGGGACUAGAACCUGCAUGACCAGAACCGAGCUCCUCGGACCGCGUUGGGUCUGUGCACACUCACGCCCAGCAGAACAGGAGGCGGGGAAUGUGAGCCUUCGACGGAGAAGUGGGUUCGAAUCCCCACCUGGCUCG